Molecule: long non-coding RNA, 943 nt
Organism: Falco peregrinus (peregrine falcon)
Lineage: Eukaryota; Metazoa; Chordata; Aves; Falconiformes; Falconidae
Exons: 9
Source: RefSeq, a predicted model, not a curated record
AGGAUGGCCGCCCCCUCACCUCAGCGCGGUCCUCCGCUUCCCGCGCAGCUCCCCUCAGCCCCUCCCUGACGGCUGCGCGCCGUCCCGCCGCCGCGGGCUGAGGGAAGGGGAGCGGCGAGGGGGCGGCGGGCAGCGCCUCAGGCAGCCCCGCUGGGAGCGCCAGGUACCAAAUACAUGCAUAAAAAGAUGCUUCUUCACUUGAUUGCUUUGCACGCCAUCAUCUAUAGAAGUCAAACAAAGGAUGGCUGGAAAUGCAAUAAUCCAUAGGCCCACAACUGGCUUCUGAAACAGUGAAAAUGCAGAUUACUUGUUCAGUUGUACAAGAAAUCUUGACAGAAUCCAAAAGCAUAUGUAGGUGCUGACACUGCUGAGAAAACAAAACAUGGAUGGACAUGGCUAACCACUGAAAAUGCCAGCGGAUGUCCAGUUCAUCAAGAUACACCUGUCUGGAUGUAUUCACUUGCACCGACUGCCUUCACCUCAGGUGGAGAAACUGAAGCACAGAGGAAAGAAACACAUGUGUGUUGGUGAAUGUCACAGCUUGACAACCAACAAGAUUAGAGGCCAUUUGGGAAAAGUUGCAAUGAUAAUCCAUCUUAACCACAGGCAGAACUGGACACAGAUUCCAUGACUGAAAAUCAACACAACUAGAGUUUCGACAAGGAAUCAUUUGAAUUGUGAAGGAAAGCCAGUAAAAAGAAGAGAAGAAAACCCAAAUCACAGUAUCUUGAUCAGAGGCAUGGAUGAAGGGAUUUAAGUCUUAUGUUAUUCUCCUCUUUCUUGGAAACCUAUGGAACCCUUUCAGGUGUGCAGAUUUAAUCUCUUCAGUUGAUUCUUUCAGUGAAUGAAACCAGGAAGGACUGUUGCAUAAGGAGGAUCAGAAGCCAGUGGCACGACAACCAUUCCUUGGUGCUAACCAAAGCCAGGACUCUGAUUCUAAAAG